ACGAUGGAGAGUUUGCUCCUGGCUCAGGAUGAACGCUAGCUACAGGCUUAACACAUGCAAGUCGAGGGGCAGCAUGAACUUAGCUUGCUAAGUUUGAUGGCGACCGGCGCACGGGUGAGUAACGCGUAUCCAACCUUCCCAUUACUCCGGCAUAGUCUUGCGAAAGUGAGGUUAAUUCGGGAUGGUAUCUUAUAAACGGAUGUUGGUAGGAUUAAAGGUUAAUUCCGGUAAUGGAUGGGGAUGCGUUCCAUUAGGUUGUAGGCGGGGUAACGGCCCACCUAGCCAUCGAUGGAUAGGGGUUCUGAGAGGAAGGUCCCCCACAUUGGAACUGAGACACGGUCCAAACUCCUACGGGAGGCAGCAGUGAGGAAUAUUGGUCAAUGGGCGCGAGCCUGAACCAGCCAAGUAGCGUGAAGGAUGACUGCCCUAUGGGUUGUAAACUUCUUUUAUAAGGGGAUAAAGGGUCCCACGUGUGGGAUGUUGCAUGUACCUUAUGAAUAAGCAUCGGCUAACUCCGUGC
RNAcentral lists this ribosomal RNA (520 nucleotides) under Candidatus Phocaeicola gallistercoris. RNAcentral's name for it is "bacterial SSU rRNA". It matches the Rfam family "Bacterial small subunit ribosomal RNA", at positions 1 to 508 of the family's 1533-position model. The record is from RNAcentral. Lineage: Bacteria; Pseudomonadati; Bacteroidota; Bacteroidia; Bacteroidales; Bacteroidaceae.